UACGUAGGCAGCAAGCGUUGUUCGGAAUUACUGGGCGUAAAGAGUGUGUAGGCGGUGCUCUAAGUCUGUUGUGAAAUCUCCCGGCUUAACUGGGAGGGUGCGGCGGAGACUGGAGUGCUAGAGUGUGGGAGAGGUAAGCGGAAUUCCUGGUGUAGCGGUGAAAUGCGUAGAUAUCAGGAGGAACACCUGUGGUGUAGACAGCUUACUGGACCACGACUGACGCUGAGACACGAAAGCGUGGGUAGAAAACAGG
Molecule: ribosomal RNA, 253 nt
Filed under: uncultured bacterium
Lineage: Bacteria
Description: partial 16S ribosomal RNA
Rfam family: Bacterial small subunit ribosomal RNA
Source: RNAcentral